Molecule: ribosomal RNA, 495 nt
Filed under: uncultured bacterium
Lineage: Bacteria
Description: bacterial SSU rRNA
Rfam family: Bacterial small subunit ribosomal RNA
Source: RNAcentral
UGAACGCUAGCGACAGGCUAACACAUGCAAGUCGAGGGGUAACAGGGUAGCAAUACCGCUGACGACCGGCGCACGGGUGAGUAACGCGUAUGCAACCUGCCUAUAACUGGGGAAUAGCUCCCUGAAAGGGGAAUUAACACCGCAUAACACUAUUGAUUCGCAUGGAUUAGUAGUUAAAUGUAGCGAUACAGGUUAUAGAUGGGCAUGCGUGACAUUAGCUAGUUGGUGAGGUAACGGCUCACCAAGGCUACGAUGUCUAGGGGUUCUGAGAGGAAGGUCCCCACACUGGUACUGAGACACGGACCAGACUCCUACGGGAGGCAGCAGUGAGGAAUAUUGGUCAAUGGGCGCAAGCCUGAACCAGCCAUGUCGCGUGCAGGAAGACUGCCCCCUAUGGGUUGUAAACUGCUUUUAUAGUAGAAGAAACACAUCUACGCGUAGAUGUCUGCCAGUAUACUAUGAAUAAGCAUCGGCUAACUCCGUGCCAGCAGCAGC